UGACGGAUAGUACUCUCGAACAUUUAUUAUUCGCAAAUUAUAGAUAACAAAUAUUUUAAUAUCCGUUUAUAAAAUAAAAAUAAAAUUUUAAUUUAUAUUUUUUUUAAUUAAAUUUAAUUUAAAAUAAAGUUAAUUUAUAUUUUAUUAGAUUAAAUUUGAUUAAAAUUAAAUUAUAUAUUUUUUUGUAAUUUUAUUUUAAAAAUG
Molecule: long non-coding RNA, 204 nt
Filed under: Vigna radiata
Lineage: Eukaryota; Viridiplantae; Streptophyta; Magnoliopsida; Fabales; Fabaceae
Description: long non-coding RNA (VRAD_LNC015546)
Source: RNAcentral